Molecule: long non-coding RNA, 1026 nt
Filed under: Cricetulus griseus (Chinese hamster)
Lineage: Eukaryota; Metazoa; Chordata; Mammalia; Rodentia; Cricetidae
Description: lncRNA (ENSCGRG00015042078.1)
Source: RNAcentral
CAUUUUUGGGCUUAACUUACCUUUAGUGCCCAGGGCUGUUCAAUACACAGCUAUACUUCUAUUUUUGUCUUAGUGUCUUCUACAGAACUAGGUCCUUAUGGUAUUUUAGUUUUUUUUUUUGGUUUUGUUUUUUCCUGUCUUUUGAAGGACCUGUGAUCUUUUAAUGUUGGUAUUGAUCAUUUUGAGUCUUUGCCCUCUGGUUUGAUCCCCCCCCCUUUUUUUUGACUGGAGUAUCUUAUAUCAGUGUUUGUAGUUUUGAGUAUGAUUUAUUACUCAGGUUACUGUAAAUGGAAUUGCUUACUUUAUUCCAGUCUUCAGAACUACUGUGUAGAAAUAUAACUGAGCCCUAUAUCCUAACUUUCUGAAUCUAGUAGUGAUAGCUGAAUGAAAAAUGAAAUAAAAGGAGGACAUGACUACUCCUAAAGUAUGGAGAAGACUUUUAUUGUAGGUAUGAAGGAGAAAGCAGGCAGGGGAGGGUCCAGGCUGAACAUGGCUGGCAGACUAAACAUGAGGAACCACUGACCAGGACACCAAGACCAGAGUAAGCAAGAAGCUGAGUUAUAUAAAGGGAGGAGGGGAGUUAGGAUAGGGGCAGUUUUACACCUUCCCUUUCAGUCAGAGUGCCUUUCUCAAUGAACUGCUUGGUCUAGAUCCUUUGUAUCAUUUUGUGAAUGGAAGCAGGGAAAAUCUCUUCAAGGAGAUCCCUAUCCUAGGGAAAUGCCAGUCUUUAAUUACUGAGUGUGAUCAGUUUGGUGGGAGGGGGAUUCUUUGUUCCUGGUCUUUGAUUUUUGUUGUUUCUCUGUGUAGCCCUGGCUGUCUUGGAACUCACUCUAUAGACCAGGCUGACCUUGAACUCAAGAGAUCCACCUGCCUCUGCCACCUGAGUGCUGGGAUUAAAGGUGUGUGCUGCCCCACCCUCCAGCUAUUUUAAAAUUUUAAUCAUGAGUGAUCAUCUUGCCAACUAAUUUUAAAUUGCACUUACAUAUCAGGCUAUUCCCAAAGCCUUUUGGUGUACAUUUGUUUAUA